This 495-nucleotide ribosomal RNA is filed under the name uncultured bacterium. Its description in RNAcentral is "partial 16S ribosomal RNA". It matches the Rfam family "Bacterial small subunit ribosomal RNA", at positions 28 to 507 of the family's 1533-position model. The record is from RNAcentral.
GACGAACGCUGGCGGCGUGCCUAAUACAUGCAAGUAGAACGCUGAAGGAGGAGCUUGCUCUUCUGGAUGAGUUGCGAACGGGUGAGUAACGCGUAGGUAACCUGCCUGGUAGCGGGGGAUAACUAUUGGAAACGAUAGCUAAUACCGCAUAACAGUAGAUGUUGCAUGACAUUUGCUUAAAAGGUGCAAUUGCAUCACUACCAGAUGGACCUGCGUUGUAUUAGCUAGUUGGUGGGGUAACGGCUCACCAAGGCGACGAUACAUAGCCGACCUGAGAGGGUGAUCGGCCACACUGGGACUGAGACACGGCCCAGACUCCUACGGGAGGCAGCAGUAGGGAAUCUUCGGCAAUGGACGGAAGUCUGACCGAGCAACGCCGCGGGAGUGAAGAAGGUUUUCGGAUCGUAAAGCUCUGUUGUAAGAGAAGAACGAGUGUGAGAGUGGAAAGUUCACACUGUGACGGUAGCUUACCAGAAAGGGACGGCUAACUACGUG